RNAcentral lists this ribosomal RNA (1435 nucleotides) under uncultured bacterium. RNAcentral describes it as "bacterial SSU rRNA". It matches the Rfam family "Bacterial small subunit ribosomal RNA". The record is from RNAcentral.
UCUACAGGCUUAACACAUGCAAGUCGAGGGGCAGCAUGGUCUUAGCUUGCUAAGGCCGAUGGCGACCGGCGCACGGGUGAGUAACACGUAUCCAACCUGCCGUCUACUCUUGGACAGCCUUCUGAAAGGAAGAUUAAUACAAGAUGGCAUCAUGAGUCCGCAUGUUCACAUGAUUAAAGGUAUUCCGGUAGACGAUGGGGAUGCGUUCCAUUAGAUAGUAGGCGGGGUAACGGCCCACCUAGUCUUCGAUGGAUAGGGGUUCUGAGAGGAAGGUCCCCCACAUUGGAACUGAGACACGGUCCAAACUCCUACGGGAGGCAGCAGUGAGGAAUAUUGGUCAAUGGGCGAGAGCCUGAACCAGCCAAGUAGCGUGAAGGAUGACUGCCCUAUGGGUUGUAAACUUCUUUUAUAAAGGAAUAAAGUCGGGUAUGGAUACCCGUUUGCAUGUACUUUAUGAAUAAGGAUCGGCUAACUCCGUGCCAGCAGCCGCGGUAAUACGGAGGAUCCGAGCGUUAUCCGGAUUUAUUGGGUUUAAAGGGAGCGUAGAUGGAUGUUUAAGUCAGUUGUGAAAGUUUGCGGCUCAACCGUAAAAUUGCACUUGAUACUGGAUAUCUUGAGUGCAGCUGAGGCACGCGGAAUUCGUGGUGUAACGGUGAAAUGCUUAGAUAUCACGAAGAACUCCGAUUGCGAAGGCAGCCUGCUAAGCUGCAACUGACAUUGAGGCUCGAAAGUGUGGGUAUCAAACAGGAUUAGAUACCCUGGUAGUCCACACGGUAAACGAUGAAUACUCGCUGUUUGCGAUAUACUGCAAGCGGCCAAGCGAAAGCGUUAAGUAUUCCACCUGGGGAGUACGCCGGCAACGGUGAAACUCAAAGGAAUUGACGGGGGCCCGCACAAGCGGAGGAACAUGUGGUUUAAUUCGAUGAUACGCGAGGAACCUUACCCGGGCUUAAAUUGCAGAUGAAUUACGGUGAAAGCCGUAAGCCGCAAGGCAUCUGUGAAGGUGCUGCAUGGUUGUCGUCAGCUCGUGCCGUGAGGUGUCGGCUUAAGUGCCAUAACGAGCGCAACCCUUGUUGUCAGUUACUAACAGGUUCCGCUGAGGACUCUGACAAGACUGCCAUCGUAAGAUGUGAGGAAGGUGGGGAUGACGUCAAAUCAGCACGGCCCUUACGUCCGGGGCUACACACGUGUUACAAUGGGGGGUACAGAGGGCCGCUACCACGCGAGUGGAUGCCAAUCCCCAAAACCUCUCUCAGUUCGGACUGGAGUCUGCAACCCGACUCCACGAAGCUGGAUUCGCUAGUAAUCGCGCAUCAGCCACGGCGCGGUGAAUACGUUCCCGGGCCUUGUACACACCGCCCGUCAAGCCAUGGGAGCCGGGGGUACCUGAAGUGCGUAACCGCGAGGAGCGCCCUAGGGUAAAACUGGUGACUGG